AACAAUGCAUUGAUUGGGAAGAGUAAAGUGGUGCUGUUUUCACAAGAGAGGGAACGUUUGGUGAGAGUUUCCGUUAACACACAUUUGAAUGUCGCCCAUGAGCAGUUUCUGUGAACCUGUAAGUAGCAGAAACCGGUUAAAAGCCGUUAUAUAAACUUGAGAGCGUGAUGAUUUUUUUGUCAUCUGCGAAUAAAGGUGGUACCGCGAACAACUCCUUCGUCCUUUUU
RNAcentral lists this non-coding RNA (227 nucleotides) under Paenisporosarcina sp. Its description in RNAcentral is "T-box sequence". It matches the Rfam family "T-box leader". From Rfam's summary of the family: Uncharged tRNA acts as the effector for transcription antitermination of genes in the T-box leader family. T-boxes are found upstream of many aminoacyl-tRNA synthetase genes and some amino acid biosynthetic genes usually in Gram-positive bacteria. Lineage: Bacteria; Bacillati; Bacillota; Bacilli; Caryophanales; Caryophanaceae. The record is from RNAcentral.